GGUUCGAUCCUGGCUCAGAUUGAACGCUGGCGGGAUGUUUACACAUGCAAGUCGAACGGCACGGACUUCGGUCUGGUGGCGAGUGGCGAACGGGUGAGUAAUGUAUCGGAACGUGCCUAGUAGCGGGGGAUAACUACGCGAAAGCGGUAACCAAUACCGCAUACUGCCCUUCGGGGGAAAGCGGGGACCUUCUGGCCUCGCACUAUUAGAGCGGCCGAUAUCGGAUUAGUUAGUUGGUGGGUAACGGCUCACCAUGACGAUCCGUAGCUGGUCGAGAGGACGACCAGCCACGACGGGACUGAGACACGGCCCAGACUCCUACGGGAGGCAGCAGUGGGGAAUUUUGGACAAUGGGGAAACCCUGAUCCAGCCAUCCCGCGUGUGCGAUGAAGGCCUUCGAAGUUGUAAAAGCACUUUUGGCAGGAAAGAAACGGCACGGAUAAUACCUCGUGCAACUGACGGUACCUGGCAGAAUAAGCACCGGCUAACCACGCCAGCAGCCGCGGUAAUACGUAGGGUGCAAGCGUUAAUCGGAAUUACUGGGCGUAAAGCGUGCGCAGGCGGUUCGAAAAGAGAUGUAAACCGAGCUUAACUUUGGGACUGCAUUUUAACUACCGAGCUAGAGUGUGUCAGAGGGAGGUGAAUUCGCGUGUAGCAGUGAAAUGCGUAGAUGGAGGAACACCGAUGGCGAAGGCAGCUCUCCUGGGAUAACACUGACGCUUAUACGAAAGCGUGGGGAGCAAACAGGAUUAGAUACCCGUAGUCCAGCCGCCCCAAACGAUGUCAACUGGCUGUUGGGGCCUUCGGGCCUUUCGGUAGCGCAGCUAACGCGUGAAGUUGACCGCCUGGGGAGUACAACGUGGGAAGAUUAAAACUCAAAGGAAUUGACGGGGACCCGCACAGCGGUGGAUGAUGUGGAUUAAUUCGAUGCAACGCGGAAAACUCCAUUUACCCUUGACAUGUCUGGAAUCCCGAAGAGAUUUGGGGGAGGUGUCACAAAAGAGAACCGGAACACAGGUGCUGCAUGGUUGCCGUCAGCUCGUGUCGUGAGAUGUUGGGUUAAGUCCCGCAACGAGCGGCAACCCUUGUCAUUAGUUGCUACGAAAGGGCACCUAAUGAGACUGCCGGUGACAAACCGGAGGAAGGUGGGGAUGGAGGGUAGUCGCCAAGUCCUCAUGGCCCUUAUGGUAGGGCUUCACACGCUGGGCACAAUGGUCGGGACAGAGGGUCGCCAACCCGCGAGGGGGAGCCAAUCCCAGAAACCCGAUCAAACUGAUCGCAGGCCCGCAAAUCGACUGCGCAGAAGUCGGAAUCGCUAGUAAUCAGUGAUCAGCAUGUUUGAAUACGCCCCGGUCUGUACACACCGCCCGUCACACCAUGUGAGUGUAUUAUCAGAAGUAGUUAGCCUAACCGUAAGGAGGGCGAUUACCACGGUAGGAUUCAUGACUGGGGUGAAGUCGUAACAAGGUAA
Molecule: ribosomal RNA, 1471 nt
Filed under: uncultured Bordetella sp.
Lineage: Bacteria; Pseudomonadati; Pseudomonadota; Betaproteobacteria; Burkholderiales; Alcaligenaceae
Description: partial 16S-23S ribosomal RNA intergenic spacer
Rfam family: Bacterial small subunit ribosomal RNA
Source: RNAcentral